Molecule: ribosomal RNA, 468 nt
Filed under: uncultured bacterium
Lineage: Bacteria
Description: partial 16S ribosomal RNA
Rfam family: Bacterial small subunit ribosomal RNA
Source: RNAcentral
GACGAACGCUGGCGGCGUGCUUAACACAUGCGAGUCGAACGGAAAGGCCCUGCUUUUGUGGGGUGCUCGAGUGGCGAACGGGGGAGUAACACGUGAGUAACCUGCCCUUGUCUUUGGGAUAACUUCAGGAAACUGGGGCUAAUACCGGAGAGGAGAUCCUGCUGCAUGGUGGGGGUUGGAAAGUGUCGGCGGUUGGGGCUGGACUAGAGGCUUAUCAGCUGGUUGGUGGAGUAGUGGCUUACCAAGGCUUUGACGGGUAGCCGGCCUGAGAGCGUGACCGGCCACCUUGGGACUACGAUACGGCGCAGACUCCUACGGUACGCAGCAGUGGAGAAUCUUGCACAAUGGGCCGACGCCUGAUGCGGCAAUGCCGCGUGCGUAAUGACGGCCUUCUGGUUGUAAACCGCUUUCGCCUGUGACGUAGCGUGAGUGACGGUAAUGGGUAAAGAAGCACCGGCUAACUACGUG